RNAcentral lists this ribosomal RNA (301 nucleotides) under uncultured bacterium. RNAcentral's name for it is "partial 16S ribosomal RNA". It matches the Rfam family "Bacterial small subunit ribosomal RNA", at positions 509 to 807 of the family's 1533-position model. The record is from RNAcentral.
CAGUAGCCGCGGGAAUACGUAGGGUGCGAGCGUUAAUCGGAAUUACUGGGCGUAAAGCGUGCGCAGGCGGUUGUGUAAGACAGGUGUGAAAUCCCCGGGCUUAACCUGGGAACUGCGCUUGUGACUGCACAGCUAGAGUAUGGCAGAGGGGGGUGGAAUUCCACGUGUAGCAGUGAAAUGCGCAGAGAUGUGGAGGAACACCGAUGGCGAAGGCAGCCCCCUGGGCCAAUACUGACGCUCAUGCACGAAAGCGUGGGGAGCAAACAGGAUUAGAUACCCCGGUAGUCCCUGUCUCUUAUAC